This 196-nucleotide ribosomal RNA is filed under the name uncultured bacterium. Its description in RNAcentral is "partial 16S ribosomal RNA". It matches the Rfam family "Bacterial small subunit ribosomal RNA", at positions 328 to 539 of the family's 1533-position model. The record is from RNAcentral.
ACGCUCGACACCUACGGGGGCAGCAGUGGGGAAUAUUGCACAAUGGGGGAAACCCUGAUGCAGCGACGCCGCGUGAGCGAAGAAGUAUCUCGGUAUGUAAAGCUCUAUCAGCAGGGAAGAAAAUGACGGUACCUGACUAAGAAGCCCCGGCUAACUACGUGCAGCAGCCGCGGUAAUCUGAGCGGGCUGGCAAGGC